AGGGUGUUAGUCCAAAGAAAGACCUCUGAUUUCGGCUCAGAAGACCGUGGCUCAAUUCCACGACUCCCUU
RNAcentral lists this transfer RNA (70 nucleotides) under Kichulchoia multifasciata. RNAcentral's name for it is "tRNA-Arg". It matches the Rfam family "tRNA". Rfam says of the family: Transfer RNA (tRNA) molecules are approximately 80 nucleotides in length. Their secondary structure includes four short double-helical elements and three loops (D, anti-codon, and T loops). Lineage: Eukaryota; Metazoa; Chordata; Actinopteri; Cypriniformes; Cobitidae. The record is from RNAcentral.